RNAcentral lists this ribosomal RNA (465 nucleotides) under uncultured bacterium. RNAcentral's name for it is "bacterial SSU rRNA". It matches the Rfam family "Bacterial small subunit ribosomal RNA", at positions 338 to 795 of the family's 1533-position model. The record is from RNAcentral.
CCUACGGGUGGCACCAGUGGGGAAUAUUGCACAAUGGGCGCGAGCCUGAUGCAGCCAUGCCGCGUGUAUGAAGAAGGCCUUCGGGUUGUAAAGUACUUUCAGCGGGGAGGAAGGUGUUGUGGUUAAUAACCACAGCAAUUGACGUUACCCGCAGAAGAAGCACCGGCUAACUCCGUGCCAACAGCCGCGGUAAUACGGAGGGUGCAAGCGUUAAUCGGAAUUACUGGGCGUAAAGCGCACGCAGGCGGUCUGUCAAGUCGGAUGUGAAAUCCCCGGGCUCAACCUGGGAACUGCAUUCGAAACUGGCAGGCUAGAGUCUUGUAGAGGGGGGUAGAAUUCCAGGUGUAGCGGUGAAAUGCGUAGAGAUCUGGAGGAAUACCGGUGGCGAAGGCGGCCCCCUGGACAAAGACCGACGCUCAGGUGUGAAAGCGUGGGGAGCAAACAGGAUUAGAUACCCCCGUAGUC